RNAcentral lists this ribosomal RNA (253 nucleotides) under uncultured bacterium. RNAcentral describes it as "partial 16S ribosomal RNA". It matches the Rfam family "Bacterial small subunit ribosomal RNA", at positions 524 to 776 of the family's 1533-position model. The record is from RNAcentral.
UACAGAGGGGGCAAGCGUUAUUCGGAAUUAUUGGGCGUAAAGGGCGCGUAGGCGGCUUGGCAAGUGGAAGGUGAAAUCCCUCGGCUUAACCGAGGAACUGCCCUCCAAACUGCUUUGCUUGAGGCCGGGAGAGGUGAGUGGAAUUCCCAGUGUAGCGGUGAAAUGCGUAGAUAUUGGGAGGAACACCAGUGGCGAAAGCAGCUCUCUGGGACGGUACUGACGCUGAGACGCGAAAGCGUGGGGAGCGAACAGG